UAGAUACCCUGGUAGUCCACGCCGUAAACGGUGGGCGCUAGGUGUGGGCCUCAUUCCACGAGGUCUGUGCCGCAGCUAACGCAUUAAGCGCCCCGCCUGGGGAGUACGGCCGCAAGGCUAAAACUCAAAGGAAUUGACGGGGGCCCGCACAAGCGGCGGAGCAUGUGGCUUAAUUCGAUGCAACGCGAAGAACCUUACCUAGGCUUGACAUGCAAGGAAAUCUCCCAGAGAUGGGAGGUCCGCAAGGGCU
Molecule: ribosomal RNA, 250 nt
Filed under: uncultured bacterium
Lineage: Bacteria
Description: partial 16S ribosomal RNA
Rfam family: Bacterial small subunit ribosomal RNA
Source: RNAcentral